RNAcentral lists this ribosomal RNA (219 nucleotides) under uncultured bacterium. RNAcentral describes it as "partial 16S ribosomal RNA". It matches the Rfam family "Bacterial small subunit ribosomal RNA", at positions 1281 to 1500 of the family's 1533-position model. The record is from RNAcentral.
GGACAUCUCAGUUCGGAUUGUAGUCUGCAACUCGACUACAUGAAGCUGGAAUCGCUAGUAAUGGCAGGUCAGCAUACUGCCGUGAAUACGUUCCCGGGCCUUGUACACACCGCCCGUCACACCAUGAGAGUUGGAGAUACCCGAAGCCUAUGAGCUAACUUUUAGAGGCAGUAGUCGAAGGUAGAAUCAAUGAUUGGGGUGAAGUCGUAACAAGGUAUC